RNAcentral lists this long non-coding RNA (1503 nucleotides) under Sparus aurata (gilthead seabream). Its description in RNAcentral is "lncRNA (ENSSAUG00010010261.1)". The record is from RNAcentral. Lineage: Eukaryota; Metazoa; Chordata; Actinopteri; Spariformes; Sparidae.
UGGGCUAGAUGGUGUUUUUAUUUUUAUUUUUAUUUUUAUUUAUUGCUGUUACUAAUUAGAUCCACAAAGAAUAUUCUUUCACCUCUUUGCUAUUUGAUUGUGCUUGUAUUUUGUAUUUUGUCAGUUUGAUACCAAUAUGGGUAUUGAUACUUGUCAUAAUGUGUGAGACUCUGUCAAGGAACUUGUUCUAAUAAAUGUUCAAAAAAAAAAAUGGAAUCUAUCUGUUGUUCAGCUGCAGUCAGUGGAGAGGAAACCACAGCAGGGUGAGAGUCAGUCAGAGAGGAAGGAGGAGGGUCUGACUGAUGUGACCAUGAAAUGAUGAAGUGUAGAUGUCAUAUGAGUCGGUGUUAGGAUGGAGGAAACACGUCUGCUGCGUCUGCUCUGUAAGUACACUCACACAUCAGCUGGAAGAAACACACACUUUGUUUUGUGGAACAUGAACAGACGUUAGUGUCCAUGUUACUCUGACAGGACGUCACUUUUCACACUGUUGCUUUAAAAACAACAUGAGCUGAUGAUGUUUCUUUGAUACGACUGUCCUCCUCUGUGUUUCCUCUCAAACCAACCGGAGUGUCUUUUGUCUUUAGUUGUGACGUCAGUGCUGAGCGGCUGCACACACCAAGCCUCUCUGAAGAUCAGUCCUCACACAUCUCAGCUGUUUGUAGGAGAGUUUGUCUCUCUGAGGUGUGAGGAGGACGACAGCUCUGAUGGAUGGACGGUGACGAGGAACACGACUGAAGACACCAGGACUCAGUGUGGAGCUGGCUGGGGAAGAAAAGAUGGUUCUGACUGUAAAAUCAGCUACAUCAACACAUGGGACAGUGGAGUUUACUGGUGUGAGUCCACAGGCGGAGCAGCCAGUAGCAGCAUCAACAUCACUGUCACUGGUAAGAUGAGGCUGUUGUAACUCCAGCAGGUCUGAACACUGAGUCUGUCUUUCACCUUUUCACUUUGGCUGAGCCUGAGAGAGACAAAGACAAGAAGACAGACAGGUGACCUUCAGGAGGCAACAACACUGGGUGGAGCACUGAGUCUGCCUCCUCAACAUGUUGUUCAUCUGUCAGUCUGAGAUUAUGUUCAACAUGUAGAGAUGAUAAAUCAGCUCCAUGUGCCAAAUGUUUCUCCAGAGAGAUUGUUGUGAUGAAGUGUUGCUGAGUACAGGACAGGACAGUGAGACUGCUUGUGUGAGUCAGAGGAUCCAACAAGCUGAGUUUGAUGCUGUGAAAUCACACUUUAACCUGCCCAUGUUAGCAGCAACUUAAUACAUUUUGUACGUAGUAGAUAUGUUAAAACACUGUGAAACUUUACAUGUCUUGAUGUUUUAAAUUAGUUUUGUCUUUAAUACCACAGCUGGAAAACCUCGACAUCUUGUUAAAGUAUAAUAUUGAACCAUCAUGUGAUUUAUUCUCCUCUAUAUAAAGUUUGUGGGUCUCAGGCUGACAUAGAACAAGAGGAACAGACCAGACAGGAGCAAGUUCACUUUCUUAGUUUGAUCUGGUUUCU